UAGGGAAUCUUCCGCAAUGGACGAAAGUCUGACGGAGCAACGCCGCGUGAGUGAAGAAGGAUUUCGGUUCGUAAAACUCUGUUGUUAGGGAAGAAAAAAUGUAUAGUAACUAUAUACAAAAGAGACGGUACCUAACCAGAAAGCCACGGCUAACUACGUGCCAGCAGCCGCGGUAAUACGUAGGUGGCAAGCGUUGUCCGGAAUUAUUGGGCGUAAAGCGCGCGCAGGUGGUUUAGAAAGUCUGAUGUGAAAGCCCACGGCUCAACCGUGGAGCGUCAUUGGAAACUAAUAAACUUGAGUGCAGGAGAGAAAAGUGGAAUUCCUAGUGUAGCGAUGAAAUGCGUAGAGAUUAGGAGGAACACCGGUGGCGAAAGCGGCUUUUUGGCCUGCAACUGACACUGAGGCGCGAAAGCGUGGGGAGCAAACAGG
Molecule: ribosomal RNA, 429 nt
Filed under: Verrucomicrobiota bacterium
Lineage: Bacteria; Pseudomonadati; Verrucomicrobiota
Description: Verrucomicrobia bacterium partial 16S ribosomal RNA
Rfam family: Bacterial small subunit ribosomal RNA
Source: RNAcentral